Molecule: long non-coding RNA, 1595 nt
Filed under: Macaca nemestrina (pig-tailed macaque)
Lineage: Eukaryota; Metazoa; Chordata; Mammalia; Primates; Cercopithecidae
Description: lncRNA (ENSMNEG00000046025.1)
Source: RNAcentral
CUUACACUUAUGAAGGUGUGGAAGGUUGCGUGAUGACCUGCAAAGUUGUUUGCAUCCUAAUCCCCAGAAUCUACAACUGUUACCUUACAUGGCCAAAGGAUUUCAAUUAAGGAUCCUGAGAAGGGAAGAGGAUCCUGGCUUAUCCGGGGGUGGGGAUUGUAAUCACAAGCGUCCUUAUAAGCAGGAAGCAAGAAUCUCCAAGGCAGCUCAGGUUAUGUGAGAAGCAGAGAUGAGAGCGAUGAGGCCCUGAUCCCAGGAACGCAGGCAGCCUCUGGAAUGGAGAAGAGGCAGGGAACACACUCUCUCCUGAGCCCCCAGAAGCCACUGGCCUCACUGGCACCUUCUUUUGUGCCCUUUAAAGCUCAUUUUGGACUUCUCGCCUCCAGAACUGUAAGAGCGUACAUGUGUGUUGUCUGAAGUCACUAAGCUUGUGAUAAUGUGUUAUAGCAGCAAUAAAAAACUAAUACAAAGGUGGAUCAAGAGGUAAAUACAUCAUCUUCUCUGGGGCGGGGGGGGGAGGGGACAAAAAAAAACCAAUGACAAUUCAUAUAAAAGGGAAAAACACAGGAUCCAGGACUGUGCACUGUGGGAGAAAAGCAGCAUUCUCUAAAGCCAAACACAGGGGAGUUCAAAAUUACUUUUUGUACUUACCAGUUAUUUGACCUCCAGCAAGUCACUUACCCUCUGAACCUCAGUAUCUGCAGCCAUGAAGUGGGAAUAACGACGACAGGUGUGUACUCUCCUCUGCGAAAGCAACAGGCAAGCAGGUUUCUGGCACCAGCACAUUACCUGAAACAUCUGGCACUCGUGACCUCAGCAACCUGUGUCCUGUCUUCUCAAUGUGACAGAUUGGGGCCAUCUUCAGAGCCUGCAUCGGAGUGCUCCAUUCUGCGCAGCCCUCCACAAUCUUUGAGGAGCAGGCUUGUACCACAGCCAAUAUAUCUGCUUGGCAACUCUAAUGAACAAAUUGCCACAAAAGUGAGACAGAACACACCUUUUUGAAAAGACCUUGUUGGAUUCUGCUUCUUUCCUGAGAAAUUUAUCAAAGGACUUCCUCGAAUCUUUGAAUAAGACUUCUGAAUUACACAUGGCUCACACACAGUGAGUUAGGAAACUCGCAGUCAUUUUAUUGACAUUUAAUUUUCUUUUUUUUUUUUUUUUUUUUUUGAGACGGAGUCUCGCUCUGUAGCCCAGUCUGGAGUGCAGUGGCCGGAUCUCCGCUCACUGCAAGCUCCGCCUCCAGGGUUCACGCCAUUCUCCGGCCUCAGCCUCCCGAGUAGCUGGGACUACAGGCGCCGCCACCUCGCCCGGCUAUUUUUUUGUAUUUCUUAGUAGAGACGGGGUUUCACCGUGUUAGCCAGGAUGGUCUCGAUCUCCUGACCUCGUGAUCCGCCCAUCUCGGCCUCCCAAAGUGCUGGGAUUACAGGCUUGAGCCACCGCGCCCGGCCGACAUUUAAUUUUCAAUUUGUUUUAUUGUAAUUUUCAAGAUACGCAAAAUGAAGUAUAAUUCAAAAGACAAUUUAUUAAUAACACCUGUAUCUCUGUGGAACUAAAAACAUUUGUGAUUGUUUUCAAAAGGCAAUAGUAUUCCCAGA